This 1528-nucleotide long non-coding RNA is filed under the name Monodelphis domestica (gray short-tailed opossum). RNAcentral describes it as "lncRNA (ENSMODG00000049277.1)". The record is from RNAcentral. Lineage: Eukaryota; Metazoa; Chordata; Mammalia; Didelphimorphia; Didelphidae.
CCAACAAAUGCUCCACAAACAAAGUCUCCACCACCAAUACAACAGGUCAAUGUAACAAAUGUUGCCACAACUCCCACCCCAACAACAAGCAAAAGAUCCACCACAACAACUCAGAGUUCUACAAAAAUUGUCACCACUCUUCGUCCUUUUAAAACUACAUCUUUUCACACAACAAGACGAGUGACAGAAAUGAGUGCGAAAAGAACCACUCCUUCAGGUGCUGCCACCUCUUUCAGUGCUCUUACAAUAUUCAUGAGAUCAGCAAAGAACUUUAUGUUGUCUUAUCUGAUAAAAUGGAGACUGGCAAGCCCACAGAAGAAAUACAUAUAUAAUCUUGGCCAUGCUGAUUACAAAGCUAUUAACGACUGGCUAACUAACAAAGCCAAAAAGAAGAGUUAAGGAAGAAAAUUCUUUUGCACAGACUCUAUCUAGUUUCACUAGGGCUCUCAUGAGAAGUGGAUAACAUUUUCACCGUAACCACUCUCCUUUCUGCAAAUGGAAUUUUCUUAUUGGCCUUGGCAUUUGAAUGAAGUUAAGAAUGAUGUCAGCCUCAGAAUCUUCCUCUGAAGCCAGCUAAACCUCCUGAAAACACUAGCAAUUUACAGGCUCUUAGACUAUUUCCAUUUUUUUUCUAAGUGUGCAGCAGAGGACUGAAUCUUAUCAUAGAACAGAAAAGAAAGAAAAAAAAAACCACUUAACCAAAAUCCAUUCAAUAUCAAUUGGCUUUCACUAGUCAGUUGAUACUAUUUUAAUUCUCUUUAAGUCCCAAACACUUGCUCCUUCACUCUAGCUGCAUGCCAUUUCCUCAAGCUCCCCUUUUUGUCUUUAUAACGUUUAUCAAAAGAAGAAAUCUUCCAUUUAAAAAGGACUAUAAUUAGGCAUUAAGAGUAAUUUUUUUUAAAAAUCAGGAUGACAUUUUUUCAAAUCUUGCUCCAAGCUGCCAGAAAUAGAGGAACUGAAUUGUCAAAUCUUCCUUUCUAUCAAUCACCUUUGAAAGAAGAAAUCCCUGAUGAAGAAAAAUGAGCUGUCCUUGGGACCUGAUAAUGAUGUUAACAUAAAAAACAAUGGGAAGGUGUGAUGACCCAUGACUUCUUGAUGUUUUGAGCUCCAUCAGGAUUUUAGAAACAGGGAAUUGCAUAGUUCCCUUUUUUCCUUUUUGGUAGACUACAUCAGUAGGCACUUUUGUCCAUAAUAUAUCUGGGGUGCGGGGUGGGGAAGAGGGCGGGGAGACUAUGAAAAGGACUAUUCUGAUGUUAGUGCCUAAGUUAAACCAGUUUUAUUUUUACAUCCAGAGACUGUAUAAAGGUGAAUUUUCUAAAGAAAGAAAAAGGUUCUGUACUUUUGAAAUAAUGAAUUCAUAGCCAAAUUGUAUAUUUUGUUGUCUUGUAAUUUAAAAUUAAUUUAUUUAUUUACUUCAGUGAGUGUAAGUUUUACAUAUGUACUGUGAAAAUUCACAUGUUCAGGAUUUAUAAAGAGAAUCUUAUUUUCCUGAAAUAAAAAUAAGCAAACAAAUUCUAUGGUGAUCUUG